CCUACGGGGGGCAGCAGUGGGGAAUAUUGCACAAUGGGGGAAACCCUGAUGCAGCGACGCCGCGUGAGUGAAGAAGUAUUUCGGUAUGUAAAGCUCUAUCAGCAGGGAAGAAGUUGACGGUACCUGAGUAAGAAGCCCCGGCUAACUACGUGCCAGCAGCCGCGGUAAUACGUAGGGGGCAAGCGUUAUCCGGAUUUAUUGGGUUUAAAGGGUGCGCAGGCGGCCUGUUAAGUCAGCGGUAAAAGCCCGGGGCUCAACCCCGGCGAGCCGUUGAAACUGGCGGGCUGGAGUUGGAGAGAAGUACG
Molecule: ribosomal RNA, 305 nt
Filed under: uncultured bacterium
Lineage: Bacteria
Description: bacterial SSU rRNA
Rfam family: Bacterial small subunit ribosomal RNA
Source: RNAcentral